Parasteatoda tepidariorum (common house spider) is the source of this 810-nucleotide long non-coding RNA. Lineage: Eukaryota; Metazoa; Arthropoda; Arachnida; Araneae; Theridiidae. The record is from RefSeq and is a predicted model, not a curated record.
CUAGUUUAUCACAAAAUAACUGUAACUGUAAUUACAGUCGAUAAGUUUACCCACGAAAUGAAACUGAUGAAGAUUGUUUUUGUCGUAUUUUAAAAUCAAGUUUAUUUUUGACAAAAUUGUUUUGUUGCAUGAUACGUGUUCUAUUUCUUCCUAUUUGUCAAACAUUGCUAGAAGUUUCAAGAACGUUUUUAAUGUUGAUGGUGCUGAAAUCAAGUUGAAUUUAAUAGUCAUCUAAAUUUAAGAAGUGGUGCUUGCAUGUUCUUUGAAGCUAUUAAAAGUGAGAAAUGCCUUUUCUUUUUUUCUUAGAAAUGAACAGCUUAGUGGAAGAACUGUGGCUAAGUGACAUUUUUAAAAAAAAAAGAUUUUUCAGCGAAAGUUCUUAUUUGAGCUUUAUUUAAAUGUAUAACGUUCAUUUAUAAUGCUAAAUCAAUUCAUUCCGAAGAUACUUUAGAGGAAGAACCUUUCUAUGUGACAUUUUUUAAGUAUUCAGCUGAUGAAAGAGCUGGUUAGGUAUCUUGGCGACAAAUAGUCAACAAACCCUAGAAAAUCUCUGGUUAGGCACCGAAUGCUAAAGCGCAGGGGAAAAGAAAUUGGUUAACAGUAAAAACUUGAAGCAGCAGAUUGCAUUUAUUCAGGAGGAAUUCAUGUUUAUUUAGGAAUUAAUAAUUGCGGAGAUGAUUGUGCUCCAGAAAAAAUCCGAAUUUCUGGAUUUUUCGCAAACUGCAAUACGGAAGUUUCUCGAAAUCCAACGUCCAGAAGUUUCAAGAAAAUCAUUGAUCACAUUUAUGUAUAAUUCUUGUAUAUUUUAUU